Molecule: ribosomal RNA, 465 nt
Filed under: Vreelandella stevensii
Lineage: Bacteria; Pseudomonadati; Pseudomonadota; Gammaproteobacteria; Oceanospirillales; Halomonadaceae
Description: partial 16S ribosomal RNA
Rfam family: Bacterial small subunit ribosomal RNA
Source: RNAcentral
AAGACGGGUGGAAGCAGGGGGGAAUAGGGGACAAGGGGCGAAAGCCUGAUCCAGCCAUGCCGCGUGUGUGAAGAAGGCCUUCGGGUUGUAAAGCACUUUCAGUGGGGAAGAAAGCCUUGGGGCUAAUACCCUCGAGGAAGGACAUCACCCACAGAAGAAGCACCGGCUAACUCCGUGCCAGCAGCCGCGGUAAUACGGAGGGUGCGAGCGUUAAUCGGAAUUACUGGGCGUAAAGCGCGCGUAGGCGGUCUGAUAAGCCGGUUGUGAAAGCCCCGGGCUCAACCUGGGAACGGCAUCCGGAACUGUCAGGCUAGAGUGCAGGAGAGGAAGGUAGAAUUCCCGGUGUAGCGGUGAAAUGCGUAGAGAUCGGGAGGAAUACCAGUGGCGAAGGCGGCCUUCUGGACUGACACUGACGCUGAGGUGCGAAAGCGUGGGUAGCAAACAGGAUUAGAUACCCCAGUAGUC